This 2923-nucleotide ribosomal RNA is filed under the name Staphylococcus aureus. RNAcentral's name for it is "23S ribosomal RNA". It matches the Rfam family "Bacterial large subunit ribosomal RNA". Lineage: Bacteria; Bacillati; Bacillota; Bacilli; Caryophanales; Staphylococcaceae. The record is from RNAcentral.
GAUUAAGUUAUUAAGGGCGCACGGUGGAUGCCUUGGCACUAGAAGCCGAUGAAGGACGUUACUAACGACGAUAUGCUUUGGGGAGCUGUAAGUAAGCUUUGAUCCAGAGAUUUCCGAAUGGGGAAACCCAGCAUGAGUUAUGUCAUGUUAUCGAUAUGUGAAUACAUAGCAUAUCAGAAGGCACACCCGGAGAACUGAAACAUCUUAGUACCCGGAGGAAGAGAAAGAAAAUUCGAUUCCCUUAGUAGCGGCGAGCGAAACGGGAAGAGCCCAAACCAACAAGCUUGCUUGUUGGGGUUGUAGGACACUCUAUACGGAGUUACAAAGGACGACAUUAGACGAAUCAUCUGGAAAGAUGAAUCAAAGAAGGUAAUAAUCCUGUAGUCGAAAAUGUUGUCUCUCUUGAGUGGAUCCUGAGUACGACGGAGCACGUGAAAUUCCGUCGGAAUCUGGGAGGACCAUCUCCUAAGGCUAAAUACUCUCUAGUGACCGAUAGUGAACCAGUACCGUGAGGGAAAGGUGAAAAGCACCCCGGAAGGGGAGUGAAAUAGAACCUGAAACCGUGUGCUUACAAGUAGUCAGAGCCCGUUAAUGGGUGAUGGCGUGCCUUUUGUAGAAUGAACCGGCGAGUUACGAUUUGAUGCAAGGUUAAGCAGUAAAUGUGGAGCCGUAGCGAAAGCGAGUCUGAAUAGGGCGUUUAGUAUUUGGUCGUAGACCCGAAACCAGGUGAUCUACCCUUGGUCAGGUUGAAGUUCAGGUAACACUGAAUGGAGGACCGAACCGACUUACGUUGAAAAGUGAGCGGAUGAACUGAGGGUAGCGGAGAAAUUCCAAUCGAACCUGGAGAUAGCUGGUUCUCUCCGAAAUAGCUUUAGGGCUAGCCUCAAGUGAUGAUUAUUGGAGGUAGAGCACUGUUUGGACGAGGGGCCCCUCUCGGGUUACCGAAUUCAGACAAACUCCGAAUGCCAAUUAAUUUAACUUGGGAGUCAGAACAUGGGUGAUAAGGUCCGUGUUCGAAAGGGAAACAGCCCAGACCACCAGCUAAGGUCCCAAAAUAUAUGUUAAGUGGAAAAGGAUGUGGCGUUGCCCAGACAACUAGGAUGUUGGCUUAGAAGCAGCCAUCAUUUAAAGAGUGCGUAAUAGCUCACUAGUCGAGUGACACUGCGCCGAAAAUGUACCGGGGCUAAACAUAUUACCGAAGCUGUGGAUUGUCCUUUGGACAAUGGUAGGAGAGCGUUCUAAGGGCGUUGAAGCAUGAUCGUAAGGACAUGUGGAGCGCUUAGAAGUGAGAAUGCCGGUGUGAGUAGCGAAAGACGGGUGAGAAUCCCGUCCACCGAUUGACUAAGGUUUCCAGAGGAAGGCUCGUCCGCUCUGGGUUAGUCGGGUCCUAAGCUGAGGCCGACAGGCGUAGGCGAUGGAUAACAGGUUGAUAUUCCUGUACCACCUAUAAUCGUUUUAAUCGAUGGGGGGACGCAGUAGGAUAGGCGAAGCGUGCGAUUGGAUUGCACGUCUAAGCAGUAAGGCUGAGUAUUAGGCAAAUCCGGUACUCGUUAAGGCUGAGCUGUGAUGGGGAGAAGACAUUGUGUCUUCGAGUCGUUGAUUUCACACUGCCGAGAAAAGCCUCUAGAUAGAAAAUAGGUGCCCGUACCGCAAACCGACACAGGUAGUCAAGAUGAGAAUUCUAAGGUGAGCGAGCGAACUCUCGUUAAGGAACUCGGCAAAAUGACCCCGUAACUUCGGGAGAAGGGGUGCUCUUUAGGGUUAACGCCCAGAAGAGCCGCAGUGAAUAGGCCCAAGCGACUGUUUAUCAAAAACACAGGUCUCUGCUAAACCGUAAGGUGAUGUAUAGGGGCUGACGCCUGCCCGGUGCUGGAAGGUUAAGAGGAGUGGUUAGCUUCUGCGAAGCUACGAAUCGAAGCCCCAGUAAACGGCGGCCGUAACUAUAACGGUCCUAAGGUAGCGAAAUUCCUUGUCGGGUAAGUUCCGACCCGCACGAAAGGCGUAACGAUUUGGGCACUGUCUCAACGAGAGACUCGGUGAAAUCAUAGUACCUGUGAAGAUGCAGGUUACCCGCGACAGGACGGAAAGACCCCGUGGAGCUUUACUGUAGCCUGAUAUUGAAAUUCGGCACACCUUGUACAGGAUAGGUAGGAGCCUUUGAAACGUGAGCGCUAGCUUACGUGGAGGCGCUGGUGGGAUACUACCCUAGCUGUGUUGGCUUUCUAACCCGCACCACUUAUCGUGGUGGGAGACAGUGUCAGGCGGGCAGUUUGACUGGGGCGGUCGCCUCCUAAAAGGUAACGGAGGCGCUCAAAGGUUCCCUCAGAAUGGUUGGAAAUCAUUCAUAGAGUGUAAAGGCAUAAGGGAGCUUGACUGCGAGACCUACAAGUCGAGCAGGGUCGAAAGACGGACUUAGUGAUCCGGUGGUUCCGCAUGGAAGGGCCAUCGCUCAACGGAUAAAAGCUACCCCGGGGAUAACAGGCUUAUCUCCCCCAAGAGUUCACAUCGACGGGGAGGUUUGGCACCUCGAUGUCGGCUCAUCGCAUCCUGGGGCUGUAGUCGGUCCCAAGGGUUGGGCUGUUCGCCCAUUAAAGCGGUACGCGAGCUGGGUUCAGAACGUCGUGAGACAGUUCGGUCCCUAUCCGUCGUGGGCGUAGGAAAUUUGAGAGGAGCUGUCCUUAGUACGAGAGGACCGGGAUGGACAUACCUCUGGUGUACCAGUUGUCGUGCCAACGGCAUAGCUGGGUAGCUAUGUGUGGACGGGAUAAGUGCUGAAAGCAUCUAAGCAUGAAGCCCCCCUCAAGAUGAGAUUUCCCAACUUCGGUUAUAAGAUCCCUCAAAGAUGAUGAGGUUAAUAGGUUCGAGGUGGAAGCAUGGUGACAUGUGGAGCUGACGAAUACUAAUCGAUCGAAGACUUAAUCAA